Molecule: long non-coding RNA, 1662 nt
Organism: Corvus moneduloides (New Caledonian crow)
Lineage: Eukaryota; Metazoa; Chordata; Aves; Passeriformes; Corvidae
Source: Ensembl
AUGUUUGGGGCAGAGGUUUGGCCCUGCCAGAAGUGGAUUUUAGUCCAAAAUGAUGUAAAAUGGGGUAAAAACUACGCCAAGUUUGGGGGUUUUACCCAAUUUGGGGGAUUUUUUACCCAAAAUCUGCUGGGGGGGUUGGCAUCCUCCACCAGGAGAACCCCCAGGGGCCCCAAAAUCCCCCAAAAACCCUCGUGGGACACCCCAAAUCCCCCAAAUUCCACCCAAAACCCUCGUGGGACACCCCAAGGACCCCCAAAUACCCCAAAUUCCACCCAAAACCCUCGUGGGACACCCCAAAUCCCCCAAAUCCCCCAAAUUCCACCCAAAACCCUCGUGGGACACCCCAAAUCCCCCAAAUUCCACCCCAAAACCCUCAUGGGACACCCCAAGAACCCCCAAAUCCCCCAAAUUCCACCCAAAAUCCUCGUGAGACACCCCAAGGACCCUCAAAUCCCCAAAAUCUCACCCAAAACCCUCGUGGGACACCCCAGGAACCCCCAAAUCCCCCAAAUUCCACCCAAAACCCUCGUGGGACACCCCAGGAACCCCCAAAUCCCCCAAAUUCCACCCAAAACCCUCGUGGGACACCCCAAGGACCCCCAAAUCCCCCAAAUUCCACCCAAAACCCUCGUGGGACACCCCAAGAGCCCCCAAAUCCCCCAAAUCCCACCCAAAAUCCUCGUGGGACACCCCAGGAACCCCCAAAUCCCCCAAAUUGCACCCAAAACCCUCGUGGGACACCCCAGGAACCCCAAAUCCCCCAAAUUCCACCCAAAACCUUCGUGGGACACCCCAGGAACCCCCAAAUCCCCCAAAUUCCACCCAAAAUCCUCAUGGGACACCCCAAAUCCCCCAAAUCCCACCCAAAAUCCUCGUGGGACACCCCAAGAGCCCCCAAAUCCCCCAAAUCCCACCCAAAACCCUCGUGGGACACCCCAGGAACCCCAAAUCCCCCAAUUCCACCGAAAACCCCACAUGAGACACCCCAAGAACCCCCAAAUCCCCCAAAUUCCGCCCCAAACCCUCAUGGGACACCCCAGGAACCCCCAAAUCCCCCAAAUUGCACCCAAAACCCUCGUGGGACACCCCAAGGACCCCCAAAUCCCCAAAUUCCACCCAAAACCCUCGUGGGACACCCCAGGAACCCCCAAAUCCCCCAAAUUCCACCCAAAACCUUCGUGGGACACCCCAGGAACCCCAAAUCCCCCAAAUUGCACCCAAAAUCCUCAUGGGACACCCCAAAUCCCCCAAUUCCACCGAAAACCCCACAUGAGACACCCCAAGAACCCCCAAAUCCCCCAAAUUCCACCCAAAAUCCUCGUGGGACACCCCAGGAACCCCCAAAUCCCCCAAAUUGCACCCAAAACCCUCGUGGGACACCCCAAGGACCCUCAAAUCCCCGAAAUUCCACCCAAAACCCUCGUGGGACACCCCAAGGACCCUCAAAUCCCCGAAAUUCCACCCAAAACCCUCGUGGGACACCCCAAGAACCCCCAAAUCCCCCAAAUUCCACCCAAAACCCUCGUGGGACACCCCAAGGACCCUCAAAUCCCCCAAAUUCCACCCAAAACCCUCGUGGGACACCCCAAGGACCCCCAAAUUCCACCCAAAACCCUCGUGGGACACCCCAAAUCCCCCAAUUCCACUGAAAACCCCACAUGA